RNAcentral lists this long non-coding RNA (1077 nucleotides) under Homo sapiens (human). RNAcentral's name for it is "HSALNT0205037". The record is from RNAcentral. Lineage: Eukaryota; Metazoa; Chordata; Mammalia; Primates; Hominidae.
GCAGCUUCCAAUGUGCUUAGGAACUCAGAAGGCCACAUUCAAGCUGUUGGAUGGGUUGGGCUCCUACCUGAUAACUUUGGAGAAGAAUUUUUUUGGGGCUCCUUCAAACUGUUGGCAGAAUUCAGUUGGGCUUUAUCCAUCUUCAAACCCAGUAAUGGCCCAUGGAAUGCUUCUCAUGCCUCAAAUCUCUUUGUCUUCCCAUUCUGCUACCUGACUGUAAAGUUCUCACAUGAACUGUGCCACAAUACACAUAUCAAAGACUUGGAACCAAUCCAAAUGCCCAUCAAUCAUAGACUGGAUAAAGAAAAUAUGGUACGUAUACACCAUGAAAUACUAUGCAGCCAUAAAAAAGGAUGAGUUAAUGUCCUUUGCAGGGAUAUGGAUGAAGCUGGAAACCAUAAUUCUCAGCCAACUAACAGAACAGAAAACCAAACACCACAUAUUCUCACUCAAAAGUGGGAGUUGAACAAUCAGAAUACAUGGACACAGGGAGGGGAACAUCACAAACCGGGGCCUGUCGGGGGGUGGGGGGCUAGGGGAGGGACAGCAUUAGGAGAAAUACCUAAUGUACGUGAAGGGUUGAUAGGUGCAGCAAACCAGCAUGGCACAUGUAUACCUAUGUAACAACACUGCACGUAAUGCACAUGUACCCCAGAACUUAAAGUAUGAUAAAAAGGAGAUUAAAAUAUAUAUAUUUACAAAAAAAUGUGCUCACAUGAUUACAUUUGGUAACAUAAUCUCAAGAGUGAUAUCUCAGCAUGUUCACAAUUCCGAUCCAUACUCAAAGUGGAGAGAGUUGUGCAAGAGCAAACGUCAUUGAGGGCCAUUCCUAUUUAUUUAUUUAUUUGUUUAUUUAUUUAUUUUUGAGAUGGAGUUUCUCUCUUGUUGCCCAGGCUGGAAUGCAUUGGGCGAUCUUGGCUCGCUGCAACCUCUGACUCCCAGGUUCAAGUGAUUCUCCUGCCUCAGCCUCCCGAGUAGCUGGGAUUACAAGCAUGCACCACUAUGCCUGGCUAAUUUUGUGUUUUUAGUAGAGACGGGGUUUCACCAUGUUGGUCAGGCUAGUGUUGAACUCCCGCC